RNAcentral lists this unclassified non-coding RNA (101 nucleotides) under Chryseobacterium taichungense. RNAcentral's name for it is "Flavo-1 RNA". Lineage: Bacteria; Pseudomonadati; Bacteroidota; Flavobacteriia; Flavobacteriales; Weeksellaceae. The record is from RNAcentral.
UUGCAGCCCGGCUUGAACGGAGCUCUUUUUGCGAUUCCUAAUAGUUCAACUUAUUGCUUCACUUCGUUCGCAAAAAAGCGGGAGUGGAAGACGGAAAUAGC